Molecule: ribosomal RNA, 446 nt
Filed under: uncultured bacterium
Lineage: Bacteria
Description: bacterial SSU rRNA
Rfam family: Bacterial small subunit ribosomal RNA
Source: RNAcentral
GUGGGGAAUAUUGGACAAUGGGGGAAACCCUGAUCCAGCAACGCCGCGUGGGUGAUGAAGGCCUUCGGGUCGUAAAGCCAUGUUGGGGGGAAAGAACGCACAUGGGUAACGCCAUGUGUUGACGUUACUCCCUGAGGAAGCACCGGCUAACUCUGUGCCAGCAGCCGCGGUAAUACAGAGGGUGCAAGUGUUGUUCGGAAUCAUUGGGCGUAAAGGGCGCGUAGGCGGCGAGAUAAGUCAGAUGUGAAAGCCCUGGGCUUAACUCAGGAAAUGCAUUUGAAACUAUCUUGCUUGAGUGCGGGAGAGGGUAGUGGAAUUCCCGGUGUAGAGGUGAAAUUCGUAGAGAUCGGGAGGAACACCAGUGGCGAAAGCGGCUACCUGGUCCGCAACUGACGCUGAGGCGCGAAAGCGUGGGGAGCAAACAGGAUUAGAAACCCGUGUAGUCC